Molecule: long non-coding RNA, 753 nt
Organism: Bos taurus (domestic cattle)
Lineage: Eukaryota; Metazoa; Chordata; Mammalia; Artiodactyla; Bovidae
Source: Ensembl
ACAAUGACUGGGUAAGCUGGUGAAUUGCAUAAACUCUUUCCAAAGCGGUCGGGAUUGUCCCUCCCCACUGCAUUUGACAGAUAAAUCAAACAUGCAACUUAAAGCUAAAACACAUCAGACUUUGGAGUUAGUAGGUAAAACAAACCAGCACCAUCAUCUGUCAAUGCCACCAAAACAGAAACAUUCUUCACCUGUUCAACAUGAAAAGAGGACCGGGUUCCUGCUUAUCUCCUGCUGAGCAAUGGCUCAGUCGUGUCCAAGUCUUUGCAACCUCAUGGGCUGUAUCCCACCAGGCUCCUCUGUCCACGGGAUUUUCCAGGCAAGAAUACUGGAGACAUUGGCACCAAGCUGGAAGAUCCAGUCAAUGAAAGGACUUGAACAAGUAAAUGUUUUGGGGGUGUUGACCUAUGAAACUUCUUUAAAUACUCCUUUUUCUAUGUCACUUUCUUUCUUUUCUUUAUUUCCUUCUUCCUUUCCUUUCUUUCAAAACUUUUACUGAAAGGAAAAUCUGACAGAAAAUAUUUUCUAUUAUGAACUGUGAUUGUGUCUAAUAAAGCUAAAAUUACAUAAUGCUAUUCUUGUAAAAAGAUGAAGUUUUAAACACCUAGUGAUUAGAGGCAUUUUUCAGACUAUAGGUAAACAGAGACUCCAUAUCCACAGAAUUUCUUGUUGUUUAAAGCAAAUAUGUACAAAAGUCAAACACAUACCUUUUUAUAAAACAAAGUUAACAUUUGAAGAAAGACUGUGAUGGAC